Molecule: long non-coding RNA, 419 nt
Organism: Prosopis cineraria
Lineage: Eukaryota; Viridiplantae; Streptophyta; Magnoliopsida; Fabales; Fabaceae
Exons: 3
Source: RefSeq, a predicted model, not a curated record
GGGAGAGUGAGAGAGAGAGAGGAAGAAGAAAGGAGAAAGAGAGGGAGUUAGGCUUGGAUCUAGGAGUCUUUACGACCGUUGCGAGCUCGGCUACACGAUAGAAAAUUGUUGGUGGAACUUAUUGAGAAGUAAGGAACAAGCCGAGCCCUAUUUUGUACAAGGAGAACCCUUUUGGUACCAAAGGGUUGAGGUCCAGGCGAGGGAUCCAGUGGUGGACGAGGAAAGGAGCAAAGCUAGGGGUUUGCUUGUGAUUUGUAAAGAACUGCAACCCCUUUCUUUUGAGCAAAUAUAUUGUAAUGUAUUUAAGAUUAGGGUGCCAGUAGGAUAUGAUUAUGUAUGUGUGUGUGAAUAUGUGUGGAUUGUGUGCUUGUGUAUGAAUUUUUGUCUGUUUGCAGACUUGUGGCUAGGAAACUUGGUUA